This 347-nucleotide unclassified non-coding RNA is filed under the name Enterolobium cyclocarpum (elephant ear tree). RNAcentral describes it as "partial external transcribed spacer". Lineage: Eukaryota; Viridiplantae; Streptophyta; Magnoliopsida; Fabales; Fabaceae. The record is from RNAcentral.
UGUUGUGUGGGAUGAGAUGGUGCCUCAGAGGCUGGUUCUUGUGCUGCCUACCCCCUCAAGGGAAGCAGGCCGCUUGCAUUUAGCCUCCGUCCGGCGCCUUCUAACGGGCGCGGGAGGACAGCGUAGCACCCCCCGUGUUCCACCGAGCCUUCAUCGGUCGCGCGGCCCGCGGGGAAGUGCGAUGCUCUUGGACCCAGCGCACGCCGCGGACGGGGACUCGCGCCCCAGUCCUGAUAGGAGCUUCGAUAUAACGUAUGACGGCCGCUCCCGCCCCUUGACCGCCCCGGCGGCGCANGGGCGGACGCGCGACGUCGCGGAGGAUUGCUACCUGGUUGAUCCUGCCAGUA